UGGGGAAUUUUGGACAAUGGGCGAAAGCCUGAUCCAGCAAUGCCGCGUGUGUGAAGAAGGCCUUCGGGUUGUAAAGCACUUUUGUCCGGAAAGAAAUCCUUGGCUCUAAUACAGUCGGGGGAUGACGGUACCGGAAGAAUAAGCACCGGCUAACUACGUGCCAGCAGCCGCGGUAAUACGUAGGGUGCAAGCGUUAAUCGGAAUUACUGGGCGUAAAGCGUGCGCAGGCGGUUUGCUAAGACCGAUGUGAAAUCCCCGGGCUCAACCUGGGAACUGCAUUGGUGACUGGCAGGCUAGAGUAUGGCAGGAGGGGGGUAGAAUUCCACGUGUAGCAGUGAAAUGCGUAGAGAUGUGGAGGAAUACCGAUGGCGAAGGCAGCCCCCUGGGCCAAUACUGACGCUCAUGCACGAAAAGCGUGGGGAGCAAAACAGGAUUAGAUACCCUGGUAGUCCACGCCCUAAAACGAUGUCAACUAGUUGUUGGGGAUUCAUUUCCUUAGUAACGUAGCUAACGCGUGAAGUUGACCGCCUGGGGAGUACGGUCGCAAGAUUAAAACUUAAAUGAAUUG
RNAcentral lists this ribosomal RNA (568 nucleotides) under uncultured bacterium. RNAcentral describes it as "partial 16S ribosomal RNA". It matches the Rfam family "Bacterial small subunit ribosomal RNA", at positions 355 to 912 of the family's 1533-position model. The record is from RNAcentral.